AUCCUGGACAAUGGGGGCAACCCUGAUCCAGACAUGCCGAUUGUGUGAAGUCGGACUUCGGAUUGUAAAGCAAUGUAAGUUGGGAGGAAGGGCGGUAAGUUAAUACCUUGCUGUUUUGACGUUACAGACAGAAUAAGCACCGGCUAACUUCGUAACAGCAGCCGCGGUAAUACGAAGGGUGCAAGCGUUAAUCGGAAUUACUGGGCGUAAAGCGCGCGUAGGUGGUUCAGUAAGAUGGGUGUGAAAUCCCGGGGCUUAACCUGGGAGCUGCUUUCAUAACUGCUGAGCUAGAGUACGGUAGAGGGUAGUGGAAUUUCCUGUGUAGCGGUGAAAUGCGUAGAUAUAGGAAGGAACAUCAGUGGCGAAGGCGACCACCUGGACUGAUACUGACACUGAGGUGCGAAAGCGUGGGGAGCAAAC
RNAcentral lists this ribosomal RNA (420 nucleotides) under uncultured bacterium. RNAcentral describes it as "partial 16S ribosomal RNA". It matches the Rfam family "Bacterial small subunit ribosomal RNA", at positions 361 to 773 of the family's 1533-position model. The record is from RNAcentral.